This 73-nucleotide transfer RNA is filed under the name Camelus bactrianus (Bactrian camel). It matches the Rfam family "tRNA". Rfam says of the family: Transfer RNA (tRNA) molecules are approximately 80 nucleotides in length. Their secondary structure includes four short double-helical elements and three loops (D, anti-codon, and T loops). The record is from Rfam by way of RNAcentral. Lineage: Eukaryota; Metazoa; Chordata; Mammalia; Artiodactyla; Camelidae. RNAcentral also lists the same sequence under 3 other names.
GAAAGUAUAGCUCAAAUGGUAGAGUGUGUGCUUAGCAUGCACAAGGUCCUGGCUUCAAGCCCCAGUACCUUUU